RNAcentral lists this ribosomal RNA (1216 nucleotides) under metagenome. RNAcentral describes it as "SSU rRNA". It matches the Rfam family "Eukaryotic small subunit ribosomal RNA", at positions 528 to 1800 of the family's 1831-position model. The record is from RNAcentral.
AAUCUCUUAGCAAGGAACAAUUGGAGGGCAAGUCUGGUGCCAGCAGCCGCGGUAAUUCCAGCUCCAAUAGCGUAUAUUAAAGUUGUUGCAGUUAAAAAGCUCGUAGUUGAACUUCUGGGCGUUCUCACAGUGGCUCCGGUCGUUGUGAGAGCGUUCAUCCGUCUGAGAACUACAUUCGGCCUUCGCUGGUCGGUGUAGGGAUCAGGCAUUUUACUUUGAAAAAAUUAGAGUGUUCCAGGCAGGCAAUCGCCUUGAAUACACAAGCAUGGAAUAAUGGAAUAGGACUAUGAUUCAUUUUGUUGGUUAUUGGAUCAUAGUAAUGAUUAACAGGGACAGUUGGGGGCAUUAGUAUUUAAUUGUCAGAGGUGAAAUUCUUGGAUUUAUUAAAGACUAACUUAUGCGAAAGCAUUUGCCAAGGAUGUUUUCAUUAAUCAAGAACGAAAGUUAGGGGAUCAAAGACGAUCAGAUACCGUCCUAGUCUUAACCAUAAACUAUUCCGACUAGGGAUUGGUUGGGUUCCUUCAGCCCAAUCAGCACCUUAUGAGAAAUCAAAGUCUUUGGGUUCCGGGGGGAGUAUGGUCGCAAGGCUGAAACUUAAAGGAAUUGACGGAAGGGCACCACCAGGAGUGGAGCCUGCGGCUUAAUUUGACUCAACACGGGGAAACUCACCAGCGCAAAACAUGGGUGGGAUUGACAGAUUGAGAGCUCUUUCUUGAUUCUAUGGGUGGUGGUGCAUGGCCGUUCUUAGUUGGUGGAGUGAUUUGUCUGGUUAAUUCCGUUAACGAACGAGACCUUAACCUGCUAACUAGUUUCUUCAUGUUAAAUGGGGAGGACUUCUUAGAGGGACUAUGAGUGCAAGCUCAUGGAAGUUUGAGGCAAUAACAGGUCUGUGAUGCCCUUAGAUGUGCUGGGCCGCACGCGCGCUACACUGAUACGUUCAGCAAGUUUUAUCCUGGUCCGGAAGGAUUUCGGGUAAUCUUUGUAAAGCGUAUCGUGCUGGGGAUCGAUCUUUGCAAUUAUAGAUCUUGAACGAGGAAUUCCUAGUAAGUGCAAGUCAUCAGCUUGUACUGAUUACGUCCCUGCCCUUUGUACACACCGCCCGUCGCUCCUACCGAUUCGAGUGAUCCGGUGAACCUUCUGGACUGCUGAGGUCUCGGCCUCGGUGGAAAGUUAAGUAAACCUUAUCACUUAGAGGAAGGAGAAGUCGUAACAAGGU